CCUACGGGGGGCAGCAGUAGGGAAUCUUUCACAAUGGGCGAAAGCCUGAUGGAGCAACGCCGCGUGCAGGAUGAAGGCCUUCGGGUUGUAAACUGCUUUUAUAAGCGAGAAAUAUGAUGGUAACUUAUGAAUAAGGAUCGGCUAAAUACGUGCCAGCAGCCGCGGUCAUACGUAGGAUCCGAGCAUUAUCCGGAGUGACUGGGUGUAAAGAGUUGCGUAGGUGGCAUAAUAAGUAGCUAGUGAAAACUGGUGGCUCAACCAUUCAGACUAUUAGCUAAACUGUUAAGCUCGAGACCGUUAGGGGUAACUGGAAUUUCUAGUGUAGGAGUGAAAUCCGUAGAUAUUAGAAGGAACACCAAUAGCGUAGGCAGGUUGCUGGGACGGUUCUGACACUAAGGCACGAAGGCGUAGGGAGCAAACGGGAUUAGAUACCCUAGUAGUC
Molecule: ribosomal RNA, 442 nt
Filed under: uncultured bacterium
Lineage: Bacteria
Description: partial 16S ribosomal RNA
Rfam family: Bacterial small subunit ribosomal RNA
Source: RNAcentral